GGACGCAAGUCUGAUCCAGCCAUGCCGCGUGAAGGAUUAAGGCCUUCUGGGUUGUAAACUUCUUUUAUAGGGGACGAAAAAAGGGCUUUCUAGCUCGACUGACGGUACCCUANGAAUAAGCACCGGCUAACUCCGUGCCAGCAGCCGCGGUAAUACGGAGGGUGCAAGCGUUAUCCGGAUUCACUGGGUUUAAAGGGUGCGUAGGCGGGCAGUUAAGUCAGUGGUGAAAUCUUCGAGCUCAACUCGGAAACUGCCAUUGAUACUAUCUGUCUUGAAUAUUGUGGAGGUGAGCGGAAUAUGUCAUGUAGCGGUGAAAUGCUUAGAUAUGACAUAGAACACCAAUUGCGUAGGCAGCUCGCUACACAAAUAUUGACGCUGAGGCACGAAAGCGUGGGGAUCAAACAGGAUUAGAUACCCUGGUAGUCCACGCCCUAAACUAUGAUUACUCGACAUAUGCGAUACACUGUAUGUGUCU
Molecule: ribosomal RNA, 475 nt
Filed under: uncultured bacterium
Lineage: Bacteria
Description: bacterial SSU rRNA
Rfam family: Bacterial small subunit ribosomal RNA
Source: RNAcentral